UGGGGAAUAUUGCACAAUGGGCGCAAGCCUGAUGCAGCCAUGCCGCGUGUAUGAAGAAGGCCUUCGGGUUGUAAAGUACUUUCAGCGAGGAGGAAGGCGUUGUGGUUAAUAACCGCAGCGAUUGACGUUACUCGCAGAAGAAGCACCGGCUAACUCCGUGCCAGCAGCCGCGGUAAUACGGAGGGUGCAAGCGUUAAUCGGAAUUACUGGGCGUAAAGCGCACGCAGGCGGUCUGUCAAGUCGGAUGGGAAAUCCCCGGGCUCAACCUGGGAACUGCAUCCGAAACUGGCAGGCUAGAGUCUUGUAGAGGGGGGUAGAAUUCCAGGUGUAGCGGUGAAAUGCGUAGAGAUCUGGAGGAAUACCGGUGGCGAAGGCGGCCCCCUGGACAAAGACUGACGCUCAGGUGCGAAAGCGUGGGGAGCAAACA
Molecule: ribosomal RNA, 427 nt
Filed under: uncultured bacterium
Lineage: Bacteria
Description: partial 16S ribosomal RNA
Rfam family: Bacterial small subunit ribosomal RNA
Source: RNAcentral